CCUGAGAACCAGAGAGACUCAAUCUAACAGACUCACCUGAAUUCAAAACCUACAAACAGACAAAUGCCUCCAGUCAUCGGUUUGAAAGAAGGAGGAAAAGGAAUUCUAUCUUCUACAGACUAUGCUGAUUUGUCUGCAGACGGUGUCCGAGUUGUCAUCUGUCCACUGAUCUGUGGACACUUGUUUCCAACUGCCCUCGUACAGGACCUCCACUCUGCCCGCACACUUUCCAGGAGCGUCCACCAGUCUCACGUCUAAACUUCCUGCACCGGAAGAAAAAAUAUGAACAAACACAGACGGAAAGAAAGAUAACUAGGACGGCACACAGUCAUUACAGGGCCCUCACGUCCAGAUGCAAGACGGGGAGUGCAGCAGUUCCCUGACCUCACUUUUGAAUCAAAAUGGCUGAC
This is a long non-coding RNA of Solea senegalensis (Senegalese sole), 410 nucleotides long. RefSeq lists it as uncharacterized. The transcript has 3 exons. The record is from RefSeq and is a predicted model, not a curated record. NCBI's taxonomy places the organism in Eukaryota, Metazoa, Chordata, Actinopteri, Pleuronectiformes, Soleidae.